RNAcentral lists this ribosomal RNA (126 nucleotides) under Hetaerina pilula. RNAcentral describes it as "partial small subunit ribosomal RNA". Lineage: Eukaryota; Metazoa; Arthropoda; Insecta; Odonata; Calopterygidae. The record is from RNAcentral.
AAAUAAUUUAUUUAGUUUCUUGAUUUUUGGGCUCUAAGAUAUGUACACAUCGCCCGUCGCUCUCGUGAUAAAACGAGAUAAGUCGUAACAUAGUAGAUGUAUUGGAAAAUGUAUCUAGAAAGAUCA